This is a long non-coding RNA of Lolium rigidum, 149 nucleotides long. RefSeq lists it as uncharacterized. The transcript is spliced from 3 exons. NCBI's taxonomy places the organism in Eukaryota, Viridiplantae, Streptophyta, Magnoliopsida, Poales, Poaceae. The record is from RefSeq and is a predicted model, not a curated record.
GGGGCGGCAUCUCCAUUGUUGUACGUCGAGCUCGUCCUCAAGGGAUUCAAGAACCAAACAAGCAACAUAACAUUUUUGAAACGGUAGACAUUCCUGACUUAGAUAGUGGUACCAUAAGUAAAGGGAAGCUUGCAUCUAGUAAAUACCAA